Long non-coding RNA from Diabrotica virgifera virgifera (western corn rootworm), 378 nucleotides. RefSeq lists it as uncharacterized. The record is from RefSeq and is a predicted model, not a curated record. Lineage: Eukaryota; Metazoa; Arthropoda; Insecta; Coleoptera; Chrysomelidae. The transcript is spliced from 2 exons.
GUUUUGUUGUAUACACAUUCUUUUACAAUACAUCGACUCAUUUUGACACUAAAAUCACAAAAAAACAGAAUUGCUUGCGUUAUUAACCUUCAAUCUUCAACGACACGAAACAAAAUAUGAGCCAUAGAAAAAAGUGUUGCGUGAUUUGCGCCAUCUCAGCACCUGGUUAAAUGGAAGGAUACUACAAAUCUGGCCUCCACCUAAGUGGUCUGUAGCUUCGACAUGAUAGGUGUGAAAUUUUAAACGCUCUUGUUGUUGAUUGGAUAGGAAGGGUGCCAUAAUCUAGCCUCCAUGCUAGGUACAUAGCCUAGCCUCCAUACGGUACUUCCAAUAUUUAAUAUUUUAUUCAAUUGGACAAUAAAGGUAAAACACAAACAA